UACAUUUUGUUGUAUGAUGCAUACAAGUUUUUGAUACUUGUGGUGAUAGUUUAAUUCUAUCAAAUGUAA
Molecule: transfer RNA, 69 nt
Filed under: Tanaocerus koebelei
Lineage: Eukaryota; Metazoa; Arthropoda; Insecta; Orthoptera; Pneumoridae
Description: tRNA-Gln
Source: RNAcentral